CCAGCUCCAAUAGCGUAUAUUAAAGUUGUUGCAGUUAAAAAGCUCGUAGUUGAAUUUUGGAUCUGCUGCAGUGGUCAGCCUUAACGGUUUGUACUGCUUUGCUGGCGGAUCUUUUACCUUCUAGGGAGCCUUCAUGCUCUUAAUUGAGUGUGAUGGGGAUCUAGAACUUUUACUGUGAAAAAAUUAGAGUGUUCAAAGCAGGCAUUACGCUUGAAUACAUUAGCAUGGAAUAAUAAAAUAGGACUUUGGUUCUAUUUUGUUGGUUUCUAGGACCGAAGUAAUGGUUAAUAGGGAUAGUUGGGGGCAUUAGUAUUUAAUUGUCAGAGGUGAAAUUCUUGGAUUUAUGAAAGACUAACUUCUGCGAAAGCAUUUGCCAAGGAUGUUUUCA
RNAcentral lists this ribosomal RNA (388 nucleotides) under uncultured Physoderma. Its description in RNAcentral is "SSU rRNA". It matches the Rfam family "Eukaryotic small subunit ribosomal RNA", at positions 585 to 972 of the family's 1831-position model. Lineage: Eukaryota; Fungi; Blastocladiomycota; Physodermatomycetes; Physodermatales; Physodermataceae. The record is from RNAcentral.